Molecule: long non-coding RNA, 1000 nt
Organism: Apis cerana (Asiatic honeybee)
Lineage: Eukaryota; Metazoa; Arthropoda; Insecta; Hymenoptera; Apidae
Source: RefSeq, a predicted model, not a curated record
AAAGCCGUAUGAGAACGCCUUUCCGUCGGUGCCUUUAAACCGCGAUGUCAGUGCACAUUUCUGAACGGGUGGCGCUCUGCCCCCUCCUCCUGGUUUUUUUCUCUCAGUUUCCCCUAUGUGCACCUAAAUACCGUUAUCGUAAUAAACGCAGAUUCCGUUAUUCUCGAAAUAGAGAAUAUCUAUCAGAUAUACGUUCGUGUUAGAUCAACUUUAUCCGAAUUUAAGCUCUUUAAGACAGACGGGCGUUUGCAAAGAUGACAGUAGGAUUCACAAGCAGCACCAUGUCUCGUGUGCGCGAUGCAGCACACGAAUAGUGGGGAGAAUGAAAGAGGCAGUGAGCGAGGUACUGGUGAAGGGAGCAAAAGAGAGGGGGAGAAAUCGAGUAGAAAGUGGGGGAUGAAAAGAGAAGAGAGGGGAACGACGAGGAAGGUAGAGAGGAAGAGUGAGGAAGAAAGAGAAGACAUUGACCGAACGAGCAGCCGCGCGACAAGGCCUCCUUUGCCGUGCUAGGCCAGCUGGAAGGAACGAAGCUUGAACCCUGACUUCUCUUUCUCAACUUAAAUUGGCUACCAAAGAAACGAUGGGAAAAAGCCACUAGAACUCGCUGUGUAAAAAACUACCACCUAGCAAAAGCCAUACUCUACCUGCGCACGUGUGCCAACUGCGAAGUGAAACCCCCUAGGACAUGUACCGCGGUUAGAUUACAGCUGCUUCUUGCAGCUAAAGUGAAUUAAUAGAUUUUUGCCUUACGAAUAUAUUUAAAAAAUAAUAAAUAUGUAAAUUUUUUUAUUUUUUAAUAAUGUAUGAUUAGUUAAGAAAAAAAUGUUUGUUAUUAUCAAAUGUUAAACUCUUUAUUGUUUUACAUACUUAUCUGCAAAAAUUCUGCAAAUAUUCAAUAUAUUAUUAUUUAUUUUGUAAUAAUUUUAAUUAAAUGAUUUAAUAUAAUUACGUAGCCAGAAAAAUUUUUCUAAUAAAAUUUUUUAAAAUUUUAUAUAAAAAA